UAUUGCCGUAGAGGCGCAAUCUCGAAGAGUAGCUAUUAUUGGGGUGAUGCCAAAGAAUAAUAGUGAAAGGCGAAGGUUGCCGAAGCACAUUGCCCAUCAACGCAAUUUGCUGGGGUUGUCUCCGAAAGGAACAACACUGCCAUAGUGCUAUGCCCAAAAAGUCAGAAUACAGAGUUUUGAUUGGGUUAUCUUGGCUUGCAUACUUUCAACGACUUGAGGCUCGAACUCAGAGCAUCGUUGUUGCCGCGCCUGCAAACCAAGUUAACCUGCCUCAAGCCGAUUACUGUUACAUUUUUUGGAUAUAUAUUUUUAAACUAUGGAGCGCUACUGUAGGG
Molecule: non-coding RNA, 335 nt
Filed under: Vibrio mytili
Lineage: Bacteria; Pseudomonadati; Pseudomonadota; Gammaproteobacteria; Vibrionales; Vibrionaceae
Description: Lysine sequence
Rfam family: Lysine riboswitch aptamer (bases 1-158)
Source: RNAcentral